This 711-nucleotide ribosomal RNA is filed under the name Triticum aestivum (bread wheat). RNAcentral's name for it is "partial small subunit ribosomal RNA". The record is from RNAcentral. Lineage: Eukaryota; Viridiplantae; Streptophyta; Magnoliopsida; Poales; Poaceae.
AUGGAAGGAUAUGGGAGCGACAUGGUCAUCUCAAAGAAGCAGAUCUUGGACUGGUGCGACCGGUUCAUUCUCGUAGUGGAACCUGAGUCUCAGAGAAACUAUACUCUAUGGCCAACACAACCUCCUUUCAGCUACUCCAGAGAUAUUCUGAGCGAGUACACAGUCAGAUGCAGGGAGAUCACCAACCUUUUCCUCAAGAACCUGGCCAAGCUGCUCAGUUUAGACAAGGACUACUUCAUCAACAUGCUCGAUGAGAAUGCCAUUACACAUGCCAGGUUUAACUACUGCCCUCACUGUCCCAAGCCGGACCAAGUCUUUGGCCUGAAGCCCCACUCGGAUGCCACAGCGAUCACAAUUGUCUUCAUCGAUGAUAGCGUGAGUGGGCUCCAACUGCAGAAAAAUAGUGUCUGGUAUGAUGUGCCAAUCAUUCUGAACGCAUUACUUGUGAACAUGGGAGAUGUAAUGGAGAUAAUGAGCAAUGGGUUCUUCAAGAGUCCGGUUCACAGGGUUGUGACCAAUGCUGAGAAAGAGCGGCUGUCAUUGGUGAUGUUCUAUGCGAUGGACCCAGAGAGGGAGAUUGAGCCAGUGCAAGAGCUGGUGGACGAGAAGAAUCCGAGGCGGUACAGGAAGAUCAAAACCAAAGACUACAUAGCAGAGAUAUUCAAAACAUUUGCAAGAGGGACACUAGCCAUUGACACAGUGAAGAUCUGA